CACGUAGGGGGCGAGCGUUGUCCGGAUUUAUUGGGCGUAAAGAGCUCGUAGGCGGUUCGGUAAGUCGGGUGUGAAAACUCUGGGCUCAACUCAGAGACGCCACCCGAUACUGCUGUGACUUGAGUCCGGUAGGGGAGUGUGGAAUUCCCGGUGUAGCGGUGAAAUGCGCAGAUAUCGGGAGGAACACCAGUGGCGAAGGCGGCACUCUGGGCCGGAACUGACGCUGAGGAGCGAAAGCGUGGGUAGCGAACAGGAUUAGAAACCCCCGUAGUCC
This 274-nucleotide ribosomal RNA is filed under the name uncultured bacterium. Its description in RNAcentral is "partial 16S ribosomal RNA". It matches the Rfam family "Bacterial small subunit ribosomal RNA", at positions 524 to 796 of the family's 1533-position model. The record is from RNAcentral.